CGGCGGAGGCUCAAAAAAAAUGUUUACAGUCCUUUUUGAGAAUGACUCUCUUCCGUCGUUUGAAUUUCACUCUGCAUGGUUAGUGUGUCGACGAAAGCUAGUCGGCAGUCUACCUUGGGGUAUACCCACGGUAGUAGUUUAUCGGUAGACGGUGCGCAAACUACGAACUCGAUGGUGACGCAAGACACGGACAUGCUUUUUAUCCAGGUUCGGCCGC
Molecule: long non-coding RNA, 217 nt
Filed under: Sorghum bicolor (sorghum)
Lineage: Eukaryota; Viridiplantae; Streptophyta; Magnoliopsida; Poales; Poaceae
Description: long non-coding RNA (SBIC_LNC004705)
Source: RNAcentral